Small nuclear RNA from Heteronotia binoei (common prickly gecko), 138 nucleotides. RefSeq annotates it as U4 spliceosomal RNA. NCBI's taxonomy places the organism in Eukaryota, Metazoa, Chordata, Lepidosauria, Squamata, Gekkonidae. The transcript has a single exon. The record is from RefSeq and is a predicted model, not a curated record.
ACUACUGCGCAGUAGCAGUAUUGUAGCCAAUGAGGUUAAUCCAAGGCGCAAUUAUUGUUAAUUGAAAACUUUCCCCAGUACCCCACCAUGACUUAGCAUAUAGUCGGCAUUGGCAAUUUUUUGACAGUCACCACAGAU